UUGGAGGGCAAGUCUGGUGCCAGCAGCCGCGGUAAUUCCAGCUCCAAUAGCGUAUAUUAAAGUUGUUGCAGUUAAAAAGCUCGUAGUUGAAUUUCGGGGUUAGUAGGCUGGUCAUGCCACCGGUAUGUACUGGUCUUACUGAUUCCUCCCUCUUGAUGAGCCGUAAUGCCAUUAAUUUGGUGUUGCGGGGAAUCAGGACUGUUACUUUGAAAAAAUUAGAGUGUUUAAAGCAGGCAAGCGCUUGAAUACAUUAGCAUGGAAUAAUGAAAUAGGACGUUUAAUCCUAUUUUGUUGGUUUCUAGGAUUGACGUAAUGAUUAAUAGGGAUAGUUGGGGGCAUUAGUAUUCAAUUGUCAGAGGUGAAAUUCUUGGAUUUAUUGAUGACUAACUACUGCGAAAGCAUUUGCCAAGGGUGUUUUCAUUAAUCAAGAACGAAAGUUAGGGGAUCGAAGACGAUCAGAUACCGUCGUAGUCUUAACCAUAAACUAUGCCGACUAGGGAUCGGAUGAUGUUAAUUUUUUAAUGACUCAUUCGGCGCCUUACGGGAAAC
This 549-nucleotide ribosomal RNA is filed under the name uncultured Glomus. Its description in RNAcentral is "SSU rRNA". It matches the Rfam family "Eukaryotic small subunit ribosomal RNA", at positions 548 to 1098 of the family's 1831-position model. Lineage: Eukaryota; Fungi; Glomeromycota; Glomeromycetes; Glomerales; Glomeraceae. The record is from RNAcentral.